UCAGGCCUAACACAUGCAAGUCGAACGGUAACAUUUCUAGCUUGCUAGAAGAUGACGAGUGGCGGACGGGUGAGUAAUACUUAGGGAUCUGCCUUUGUGAGGGGGAUAACUAUUGGAAACGAUAGCUAAUACCGCAUGAUGUUUUUUUCUUAUGAAGAGAACCAAAGGGGGCUUUCGGGCUCUCGCGCAAAGAGGAACCUAAGCGAGAUUAGCUAGUUGGUGGGGUAAAGGCUCACCAAGGCGACGAUCUCUAGCUGUUCUGAGAGGAAGAUCAGCCACACUGGGACUGAGACACGGCCCAGACUCCUACGGGAGGCAGCAGUGGGGAAUAUUGCACAAUGGGGGGAGCCCUGAUGCAGCCAUGCCGCGUGUGUGAAGAAGGCCUUCGGGUUGUAAAGCACUUUCAGUGGGGAGGAAAGGAUAUAGGUUAAUACCCUGUAUCUGUGACGUUACCCACAGAAGAAGCACCGGCUAACUCCGUGCCAGCAGCCGCGGUAAUACGGAGGGUGCGAGCGUUAAUCGGAAUUACUGGGCGUAAAGCGCACGCAGGCGGUUUGUUAAGCUAGAUGUGAAAGCCCCGGGCUCAACCUGGGAGGGUCAUUUAGAACUGGCAGACUAGAGUCUUGGAGAGGGGAGUGGAAUUCCAGGUGUAGCGGUGAAAUGCGUAGAGAUCUGGAGGAACAUCAGUGGCGAAGGCGAC
RNAcentral lists this ribosomal RNA (700 nucleotides) under uncultured Gammaproteobacteria bacterium. Its description in RNAcentral is "bacterial SSU rRNA". It matches the Rfam family "Bacterial small subunit ribosomal RNA", at positions 42 to 725 of the family's 1533-position model. Lineage: Bacteria; Pseudomonadati; Pseudomonadota; Gammaproteobacteria. The record is from RNAcentral.